AAAAUCCCUCCCACCUUCCUGCGGGACCAAAACGUCGCCGGGACUGCUGACAGGGAUCUGCAUGGGGAGGUCUGAACGUGGCCACUUCUCUCUCACCGAGGAGCCCAGGGCAGGGAGGGAGGGGCGUGCCGGACGGAACUUGCAACGCUGGUGCUCAUCAUCACCCACGGUGCACACCUGAUGGGAAAUCAGCCCCAAAUAUAAACACUAAACAAAACCAAACUGUCUGAGACAACUCUGCCCCCGUCGUUACUGGUGAAGCUUUGCCCCAAGCGACUGGUGCCCUGAGACACGACUCAAUAGAGCACGAAAUCCUUAUGGACAAGCAAGGUAUCUAACAACUGAGCUUUCAGAACGUGGAGACAAACCCCCGCAAUGCUUUUCCCAGCGACGUUUAAAGUUAUGUGCUUUUCAGCUCAGUACUUUUUUGAUAUUUCCCUAAGCAAUGAUAAAUAUUUGGAAAACUCUUUUAAAGUUUCUUGCAUAAUAGCAUGAGACAAAAAACACCUACCACCAGGCAAACACUUAUUUUUUUUCUGCCGCAGUAAAAAUGGCAGAAACAAUGAACAGAAAAUGAUCUGUCGACAAACCGAAAGGCAUUUCUUUGUCAGCAAAUACUGUCGGAAGAUGUAGAGAGAACACUACCACCGAUUGGAAGGAUGUGUUAGCGCAAAUUACCCAGUGUGGGAGGUUUACCGUGUGGUUUUUUACACAUCUCAGCUUAAGAGAGAGAGCGAGCGAGCAAGAGAGUGCACAUGUGUACGCAAGCAAGGGAAGGGCAGAGAGAAAGGAAGAGAGAAUCCCCAGCAGGCUCUGCACUGUCAGCCCAGAGCCUGGUGGGGGCCUCGAACUCAUGAACCGCAAGAUCACGACCUGAGCCGAAAUCAAGAGUCAAACGUUCAACUGACUGAGCCACCCAGGCGCCCCAAAUAAGAUUCUUAUCCCUGAAAUAAUCAGAGUGUUAUUU
RNAcentral lists this long non-coding RNA (967 nucleotides) under Felis catus (domestic cat). RNAcentral's name for it is "lncRNA (ENSFCAG00000053348.1)". Lineage: Eukaryota; Metazoa; Chordata; Mammalia; Carnivora; Felidae. The record is from RNAcentral.